RNAcentral lists this ribosomal RNA (220 nucleotides) under uncultured bacterium. Its description in RNAcentral is "partial 16S ribosomal RNA". It matches the Rfam family "Bacterial small subunit ribosomal RNA", at positions 524 to 745 of the family's 1533-position model. The record is from RNAcentral.
CACGUAGGGUGCAAGCGUUGUCCGGAUUCAUUGGGCGUAAGGGCUAGUAGGCGGCUUAGCAAGUCGGGUGUGAAAUUUCCAGGCUUAACCUGGAACCGCCAUCCGAUACUGCUACUGGCUAGAGUCCGGUAGGAGACCACGGAAUACCUGGUGUACGGUGAAAUCGCAGAUAUCAGGUGGAACACCGAUGCGAAGGCAGUGGUCUGGGCCGGCACUGACG